This 307-nucleotide long non-coding RNA is filed under the name Oryza sativa (Asian cultivated rice). RNAcentral's name for it is "long non-coding RNA (OSAT_LNC000885)". The record is from RNAcentral. Lineage: Eukaryota; Viridiplantae; Streptophyta; Magnoliopsida; Poales; Poaceae.
GACGUGCGGCACCUGAUGUCCCAUCAUGGCCUUUACCUGAAUUAAGAACUGGGCUUUGUUGUGAUGAAAUACUCAAUGAAAGAAACUCCUUGUCUUUAGGUGUCACUCUUGGUGCAGAAUUGAGACCUUCUGCACCUGCACAUUUGGAAUUUCCCAAUGCCAAACUAGGAACAAAAGAUUCACCGCCCUUUGGCCUGAUACCGGGAGGUGUCACUCUUGGUGCAGAAUUGAGACCUUCUGCACCUGCACAUUUGGAAUUCCCCAGUGCCAAACUAGGAGCAAUAGAUUCACCGCCCUUUGGCCUGAU